Molecule: ribosomal RNA, 1256 nt
Filed under: Rhodococcoides kroppenstedtii
Lineage: Bacteria; Bacillati; Actinomycetota; Actinomycetes; Mycobacteriales; Nocardiaceae
Description: bacterial SSU rRNA
Rfam family: Bacterial small subunit ribosomal RNA
Source: RNAcentral
GGCCCUUCGGGGUACACGAGUGGCGAACGGGUGAGUAACACGUGGGUGAUCUGCCCUGCACUUCGGGAUAAGCCCGGGAAACUGGGUCUAAUACCGGAUAGGACUGCGCGGUGCAUGCCGUGUGGUGAAAGAUUUAUCGGUGCAGGAUGGGCCCGCGGCCUAUCAGCUUGUUGGUGGGGUAAUGGCCUACCAAGGCGACGACGGGUAGCCGGCCUGAGAGGGCGACCGGCCACACUGGGACUGAGACACGGCCCGACUCCUACGGGAGGCAGCAGUGGGGAAUAUUGCACAAUGGGCGCAAGCCUGAUGCAGCGACGCCGCGUGAGGGAUGACGGCCUUCGGGUUGUAAACCUCUUUCAGCAGGGACGAAGCGUGAGUGACGUACCUGCAGAAGAAGCACCGGCCAACUACGUGCCAGCAGCCGCGGUAAUACGUAGGGUGCAAGCGUUGUCCGGAAUUACUGGGCGUAAAGAGCUCGUAGGCGGUUUGUCGCGUCGUCUGUGAAAACAGCAGCUCAACUGUUGGCUUGCAGGCGAUACGGGCAGACUUGAGUAUUUCAGGGGAGACUGGAAUUCCUGGUGUAGCGGUGAAAUGCGCAGAUAUCAGGAGGAACACCGGUGGCGAAGGCGGGUCUCGGGAAAUAACUGACGCUGAGGAGCGAAAGCGUGGGUAGCGAACAGGAUUAGAUACCCUGGUAGUCCACGCCGUAAACGGUGGGCGCUAGGUGUGGGUUUCCUUCCACGGGAUCCGUGCCGUAGCUAAGCAUUAAGCGCCCCGCCUGGGGAGUACGGCCGCAAGGCUAAAACUCAAAGGAAUUGACGGGGGCCCGCACAAGCGGCGGAGCAUGUGGAUUAAUUCGAUGCAACGCGAAGAACCUUACCUGGGUUUGCAUACACCGGAAAGCCGUGGAGACACGGCCCCCCUUGUGGUCGGUGUACAGGUGGUGCAUGGCUGUCGUCAGCUCGUGUCGUGAGAUGUUGGGUUAAGUCCCGCAACGAGCGCAACCCUUGUCCUGUUUGCCAGCACGUAAUGGUGGGGACUCGCAGGAGACUGCCGGGGUCAACUCGGAGGAAGGUGGGGACGACGUCAAGUCAUCAUGCCCCUUAUGUCCAGGGCUUCACACAUGCUACAAUGGCCGGUACAAGGGCUGCGAUACCGUGAGGUGGAGCGAAUCCCUUAAAGCCGGUCUCAGUUCGGAUCGGGGUCUGCAACUCGACCCCGUGAAGUCGGAGUCGCUAGUAAUCGCAGAUCAGCAA